CCUACGGGCGGCAGCAGUGAGGAAUAUUGGUCAAUGGGCUUACGCCUGAACCAGCCAAGUCGCGUGAGGGAAGACUGCCCUAUGGGUUGUAAACCUCUUUUGUCAGGGAGCAACGCCGGCUACGUGUAGCCGGACUGAGAGUACCUGAAGAAAAAGCAUCGGCUAACUCCGUGCCAGCAGCCGCGGUAAUACGGAGGAUGCGAGCGUUAUCCGGCUUGAUUGGGUUUAAAGGGUGCGUAGGCGGAAUGCCAAGCCAGCGGUAAAAUCGCGGGGCUCAACCUCGCUCCGCCGUUGAAACUGGCGUUCUUGAGUGGGCGAGAGGUAUGCGGAAUGCGUGGUGUAGCGGUGAAAUGCAUAGAUAUCACGCAGAACUCCGAUUGCGAAGGCAGCAUACCGGCGCCCAACUGACGCUGAAGCACGAAAGCGUGGGUAUCGAACAGGAUUAGAUACCCUAGUAGUC
RNAcentral lists this ribosomal RNA (460 nucleotides) under uncultured bacterium. Its description in RNAcentral is "partial 16S ribosomal RNA". It matches the Rfam family "Bacterial small subunit ribosomal RNA", at positions 338 to 795 of the family's 1533-position model. The record is from RNAcentral.